Molecule: ribosomal RNA, 192 nt
Filed under: uncultured bacterium
Lineage: Bacteria
Description: partial 16S ribosomal RNA
Rfam family: Bacterial small subunit ribosomal RNA
Source: RNAcentral
CCUACCAAGGCGACGAUGGGUAGCCGGCCUGAGAGGGUGGACGGCCACACUGGGACUGAGACACGGCCCAGACUCCUACGGGAGGCAGCAGUAGGGAAUCUUGCACAAUGGGCGAAAGCCUGAUGCAGCGACGCCGCGUGGGGGAUGAAGGCCUUAGGGUUGUAAAGCUCUUUCAGCGGGGAAGAUAAUGAC